AUUACUGUACCCUCCCGGCAGCCUCCGGCAGAACACGCAGCAGCAGCAGCAGUUAGCGCUGAUGCAACUAUCGUUGCUGUUGCCACCGCCUCCCCACUGACGGGGCGUGCACCUGGGGGGUACUUGCAGUUUCCAGGGGCAACAAGCAUCUCUCUACCACCCUCUCCUGCGCCCCUGAGAGAGGCUGGCUCCAAGCUUGAUAUAGAAGACUAUCAUAUGAACCAGAAAGGGUAACUGAAACCAAAGAAAUGACUCCAGUAUCAAGCUAAAGACAUGCCUUAAAGGAUGAGGAGGAGCAGAAAUCUUACCAGCAAGGCAAGAAAGAAGCCGUACGUGAACAGCCUCUGCUUUAGGCCCAGAAGGAAAAGAAGCUUACAGGAGACAAUCAGUCUUACACUCUUCCAUGGUCACAAACAAGAGGUCCCUGGAUCUACAGGUCAUCUUGCCCCUGAAAUGGCCCUGGAAAGCUAUGGCUGAAGAAUGGAGGAAAAGAUGACUUUCUCUGUUUCUUCAGACCAGGCAUCAACUGGGAUGUUGGGAUGUUGAUAAAAGGACAUCUCAUCCUUUGUUUUCUGCCUAUGCUUUCACCAUACCCAUUCCCAUGUCUGGUCAUCACAGCAUCCUUCACAGCCCUUAGCUGAAUCAUGUUGAGUACAGGAUGGUGUGAAUAUCAUGGUUUGAAUGCAACCAUGGUCUGUCAGUGUGGCUUGUUUUUUG
This 717-nucleotide long non-coding RNA is filed under the name Homo sapiens (human). RNAcentral describes it as "non-protein coding VLDLR-AS1:23". The record is from RNAcentral. Lineage: Eukaryota; Metazoa; Chordata; Mammalia; Primates; Hominidae.